Molecule: ribosomal RNA, 284 nt
Filed under: uncultured Eubacteriales bacterium
Lineage: Bacteria; Bacillati; Bacillota; Clostridia; Eubacteriales
Description: uncultured Clostridiales bacterium partial 16S ribosomal RNA
Rfam family: Bacterial small subunit ribosomal RNA (bases 46-284)
Source: RNAcentral
UUUAUUUGAUUUCCUUCGGGACUGAUUAUUUUGUGACUGAGUGGCGGACGGGUGAGUAACGCGUGGGUAACCUGCCUUGUACAGGGGGAUAACAGUUGGAAACGGCUGCUAAUACCGCAUAAGCGCACGGCAUCGCAUGAUCCAGUGUGAAAAACUCCGGUGGUACAGGAUGGACUCGCGUCCAAUUAGCUAGUUGGUGAGGUAACGGCCCACCAAGGCGACGAUUGGUAGCCGGACUGAGAGGUUGAACGGCCACAUUGGAACUGAGACACGGUCCAAACUCC